Molecule: unclassified non-coding RNA, 309 nt
Filed under: plant metagenome
Description: partial contains 5.8S ribosomal RNA, internal transcribed spacer 2, and large subunit ribosomal RNA
Rfam family: 5.8S ribosomal RNA (bases 1-105)
Source: RNAcentral
GAAAUGCGAAAAGUAAUGCGAAUUGCAGAAUUCAGUGAAUCAUCGAAUCUUUGAACGCACAUUGCGCCCCUUGGUAUUCCAUGGGGCAUGCCUGUUCGAGCGUCAUUUGUACCCUCAAGCUCUGCUUGGUGUUGGGUGUUUGUCCCGUCUCCGCGCGUGGACUCGCCCCAAAGUGAUUGGCAGCCGGCGUACUGGUCCCGGAGCGCAGCACAUGUCGCGCAAACGAGUGCCUUGCUACGGCGGCGUCCAUAAGCCCCUCUCUCACGCUCUUGACCUCGGAUCAGGUAGGGAUACCCGCUGAACUUAAGC